Molecule: long non-coding RNA, 618 nt
Filed under: Capra hircus (goat)
Lineage: Eukaryota; Metazoa; Chordata; Mammalia; Artiodactyla; Bovidae
Description: lncRNA (ENSCHIG00010009407.1)
Source: RNAcentral
UGAGUUUCAUGUUUUUAUGAAUAUGUGUGCAGCCAUGGUGAUAAUUUCGACUGGGACUGAGAGAAGGCAUAAGGUAAAUGGUAGUUCACACUAUUAAAGAAAAGCACAAGGUAAUGCAUUUUCUCUCUCUGCAGGACAUGACUGGAUCACUUCCUCAAACUGAAGAAACAAAAAAUGGACAUCUCCUCAUCUAUGACUGUCAGUCUCUAGAAAUAUGAUUAGAGUCUGGAACCAGCCUGGAUCUCCUUUUUUGUUACUGGCUCAUUGUAAGGGGUUUAAUCUGGAUCACUUGAGCUGUUCGACGUGGCACCGCGAUAACGAUAACUUCAUCAUUAGACUCUGGAAGAAACUGCUUGGGUUCAAUUUCUCGUCAUUAUUUUGAAGUGAACCUCAAGCAUCAGUAUCAAUUUAUCCGUAAAUACUUCACUGUAUACCUUUAAAUACAAGGGCCAUUUUUUUCUUUCCAAACACAGCUGUGGUGUCAUUCACUAUCACAUCCAAAAUAUUGAACCAUAAUUCCUUUCAAUAAACAUCAAAUAAGCAGUCAGUAUUCAAAUAUCCGUGACUGUCUUGUACAUUUUUAAAUGUUUAGUUUGAAUCAGGACUCAAAUAAGAAUC